UAAACCGGAGGAAGUGGGGAUGACGUCAAGUCAGCAUGGCCUUUAUAUCCUGGGCUACACACACGCUACAAUGGGAAGGGACAAUAGGUUGCGAAGCCGCGAGGCGGAGCCAAUCCAGCAAAACUUCCCUCAGUUCAGAUUGCAGGCUGCAACCCGCCUGCAUGAAGUUGGAGUUGCUAGUAAACGCAGGUCAGCCAUACUGCGUUGAAUACGUUCCCGGGGGCCUU
RNAcentral lists this ribosomal RNA (227 nucleotides) under uncultured Anaerolineaceae bacterium. RNAcentral describes it as "partial 16S ribosomal RNA". It matches the Rfam family "Bacterial small subunit ribosomal RNA", at positions 1159 to 1378 of the family's 1533-position model. Lineage: Bacteria; Bacillati; Chloroflexota; Anaerolineae; Anaerolineales; Anaerolineaceae. The record is from RNAcentral.